This 564-nucleotide ribosomal RNA is filed under the name uncultured fungus. Its description in RNAcentral is "eukaryotic LSU rRNA". The stretch from base 182 to 335 matches the Rfam family "5.8S ribosomal RNA". The record is from RNAcentral. Lineage: Eukaryota; Fungi.
UUAACAAGGUUUCCGUAGGUGAACCUGCGGAAGGAUCAUUACCGAGUGCGGGCCCCUCGGGGCCCAACCUCCCACCCGUGUUGCCCGAACCUAUGUUGCCUCGGCGGGCCCCGCGCCCGCCGACGGCCCCCCUGAACGCUGUCUGAAGUUGCAGUCUGAGACCUAUAACGAAAUUAGUUAAAACUUUCAACAACGGAUCUCUUGGUUCCGGCAUCGAUGAAGAACGCAGCGAAAUGCGAUAACUAAUGUGAAUUGCAGAAUUCAGUGAAUCAUCGAGUCUUUGAACGCACAUUGCGCCCUCUGGUAUUCCGGAGGGCAUGCCUGUCCGAGCGUCAUUGCUGCCCUCAAGCCCGGCUUGUGUGUUGGGCCCCGUCCCCCCCGCCGGGGGGACGGGCCCGAAAGGCAGCGGCGGCACCGCGUCCGGUCCUCGAGCGUAUGGGGCUUCGUCACCCGCUCUAGUAGGCCCGGCCGGCGCCAGCCGACCCCCAACCUUUAAUUAUCUCAGGUUGACCUCGGAUCAGGUAGGGAUACCCGCUGAACUUAAGCAUAUCAAUAAGCGGAGGA